GCUGGAAAAGUUCUGGAUGCUUCAAUUCUUCCUUCUGCUGAGGAUGGUGAAGAUGGUGCAUGGGUUGUGUUAACAGAGAAGGCAGGAAUAUGGGCAAUACCAGAAAAAGCUGUUGUACUUGGUGGAGUUGAACCACCUGAGAGAAGCUUGUCACGUAAAGGGAGCUCAAAUGAAGGAUCUGCAGAAGAAGAGAGAAGAACCAUCACAUUUGCAAGCAACAUUGCUCCUAGAAGAGCUAGUUCUGAAGCAUUGGACGCUGGUGGUAGACAAAGGGCUGUUAUGACUGGAAUUGCUCAUCGAUCUGCCGGUGAUGAAGAAUCAGAAGCUUUACUUGGCCAGCUUUUCCAUAAUUUUCUGUUAACUGGGAAGGUUGAUUCCUCUUUCCAAAAGCUUCA
Molecule: unclassified non-coding RNA, 395 nt
Filed under: Hevea brasiliensis (rubber tree)
Lineage: Eukaryota; Viridiplantae; Streptophyta; Magnoliopsida; Malpighiales; Euphorbiaceae
Source: RNAcentral